GACGAACGCUGGCGGCGUGCCUAAUGCAUGCAAGUCGCACGCAGAGUGCUUGCACUCUGAGUGGCGCACGGCUGAGGACCACGUGGGAACAUGCCCUCCAGUGGGGGACAACACCGCGAAAGCGGUGCUAAUCCCGCAUACGCUUCGCAAGAAGGAAAGCGGUAACGCGCUGGGGGAGUGGCCCGCGGCCCAUCAGGUCG
This 200-nucleotide ribosomal RNA is filed under the name uncultured bacterium. RNAcentral's name for it is "partial 16S ribosomal RNA". It matches the Rfam family "Bacterial small subunit ribosomal RNA", at positions 28 to 248 of the family's 1533-position model. The record is from RNAcentral.